UCUUACCGAAACUGCGAUCUGGCAAUUUUCCAGCAUAGCUGCACUGAUAUAAUUAUCCCUGUUUUCUCCUUGCUACUCACUGAUAUCGCAUUUGGUUCACUGCUCACAAUAUUUCCACAGCUCUCAAGUGCACGACUUACUAAAUGCUACACCAUCGUCAUGUGAAGUAAAUAAACGAUUUUACGUCUUCUGUCCUUACGUCUCCGGGUGGCUUCAUCGUGCCUGAAAAUGGUUUACCCGUAUGGAGAACAAGGGCCACUAGAAGAUACGUGAAACAGAUUAUCAAAGAACUAAUGGAUAGGUGGUCACACCAUUGACAUAUCAAAAUGUUAACAGCUCUGUGGAUGACGAAGCAGUGAAGCAACUCUCUCAUUGGAUAUGACUUCCUGGUUAUUAGCUCAACCCUCAAAUAUGUAAAGCAGACCACCAGUUGCAGGUCACGACAGAAAUGUUUCAAGUACACUUUUUAAAAAAAAAGGAAAACCAAAGAUCUGAGUUGGUGUGCACCAAAAUGGCAACAGACUAGGAGAAGGCACAAUUAUUUAUCUGGUAUCAACAACAGUAUGGGAUGGCACUACCGAAAUAAACAAGCAUAAUGAGGUGGUUCAGAAACUUAAAAAUGAAAUGUCACAGACUUCCUCUGAAGUGAUGUCUGCUUGGGCCUCAAGCAAAUGUUGACUGAGUGCCAACAGCAUUUUAGCACAGCCCCCAGCAGUCAAUUCGUUGAAGAUCACAUGAAUUGCAGGAAUUGAGACCAACUGUACAUAGUGUUACAUAAGUGAUCAUGCCUUUUGCAUACAAAAUGAAAAUGGUCCAAGCAUUACAGCCAAAUAAUCAUUUUACUGUGGCACUCAUUCAUGUGUUCUAUGCUGUUGAC
Schistocerca piceifrons (Central American locust) is the source of this 877-nucleotide long non-coding RNA. RefSeq lists it as uncharacterized. The transcript has 3 exons. The record is from RefSeq and is a predicted model, not a curated record. Lineage: Eukaryota; Metazoa; Arthropoda; Insecta; Orthoptera; Acrididae.